GGGGCUGACUUUGGUUUUGACAGCAGGUAGAAUGGCGCUGUAAGCAUGUCGAGCGUUGCACGGAGUGCUCGUUAAAGAAAAUGUGCGAACCAAUUAAAUGGCGAAAAUACUUUUGCUCUCGCUGCUUAAUUAGCCUUGUCUAGUCGAGCUUAAUCCAUGCGCAUGAGUCGCGUGGACGAGAUGUCUCACGGGAAGCACUAGUCCUGUUGCGUCCCGGUUCGAGGCACCGGAAAUACAGGAAUAGGUGUGCGGGCGUUCCGACUGUACACUGAAACUUUAGGAACUAGGGUAGGUAUUGGGUGUCUCCGUCCGUUGCCUACUCAACAAUCAAUCGGAGGCUAAGCAUGUAGAAAGCAACGGUAUUCCUUGUUUGGACGCGGGUUCGAUUCCCGCCAGCUCCACU
This 403-nucleotide transfer-messenger RNA is filed under the name uncultured Bacteroides sp. It matches the Rfam family "transfer-messenger RNA". Rfam says of the family: Bacterial tmRNA, also known as 10Sa RNA or SsrA, is named for its dual tRNA and mRNA-like properties. Its role is to liberate the mRNA from a stalled ribosome. Lineage: Bacteria; Pseudomonadati; Bacteroidota; Bacteroidia; Bacteroidales; Bacteroidaceae. The record is from RNAcentral.